Non-coding RNA from Pelobates cultripes (western spadefoot toad), 253 nucleotides. The record is from the annotation of a GenBank genome assembly. Lineage: Eukaryota; Metazoa; Chordata; Amphibia; Anura; Pelobatidae.
CUUAUCCAUUUUUAUCUAAAUAUACUACACUAGAUUAGUCCAUCUGUAUGUUUUAUAUUUUUUUAUACAAACUCCCGGACUGACUCCCAGACAUGAGACCAAUGGGAAUGCUCAAGAAUCCAGAAGCGGGGAUUGUACUGCUCAUGCUGAUACAAGUGGAGCUUGUAAUACUGUAAAGCAUUACUGUAACCGCGGCUGGUUCCCUUAUUUACCACUAUAAUGUCUUAAAGCAUAAAACUUAGUAGGGCUAACC